RNAcentral lists this ribosomal RNA (572 nucleotides) under uncultured methanogenic archaeon. RNAcentral's name for it is "bacterial SSU rRNA". It matches the Rfam family "Archaeal small subunit ribosomal RNA", at positions 325 to 904 of the family's 1478-position model. Lineage: Archaea; Methanobacteriati; Methanobacteriota. The record is from RNAcentral.
ACGGGGUGCAGCAGGCGCGAAAACACGCAAUGGGGGCAACCCCGACGAGGGAAUUCCAAGUGCCAGCACUUUGUGUUGGCUGUUCUCCUGUCUAAAAAACAGGAGGAGUAAGGGGCGGGUAAGACGGGUGCCAGCCGCCGCGGUAAUACCCGCGCCCCUAGUGGUGGUCGAUAUUAUUGAGCCUAAAACGUCCGUAGCCGGUCUUCUAAAUCCUUGGGUAAAUCGGGCAGCUUAACUGUCCGAAGUCCGGGGAGACUGGGAGACUUGGGACCGGGAGAGGUCAGAGGUACUUCUGGGGUAGGGGUAAAAUCCUGUAAUCCUGGAAGGACCACCGGUGGCGAAGGCGUCUGACUAGAACGGAUCCGACGGUGAGGGACGAAGCCCUGGGGCGCAAACGGGAUUAGAUACCCCGGUAGUCCAGGGUGUAAACGCUGCGGGCUUGGUGUUGGGGGUCCUUAGUGGGCGCCCAGUGCCGGAGAGAAGUUGUUAAGCCUGCUGCUUGGGGAGUAUGUCCGCAAGGAUGAAACUUAAAGGAAUUGGCGGGGGAGCACAGGAAUUGGCGGGGGAGCACA